RNAcentral lists this transfer RNA (105 nucleotides) under Microcaldota archaeon. Its description in RNAcentral is "tRNA-Gln". It matches the Rfam family "tRNA". Rfam says of the family: Transfer RNA (tRNA) molecules are approximately 80 nucleotides in length. Their secondary structure includes four short double-helical elements and three loops (D, anti-codon, and T loops). Further hydrogen bonds mediate the characteristic L-shaped molecular structure. tRNAs have two regions of fundamental functional importance: the anti-codon, which is responsible for specific mRNA codon recognition, and the 3' end, to which the tRNAs corresponding amino acid is attached (by aminoacyl-tRNA synthetases). tRNAs cope with the degeneracy of the genetic code in two manners: having more than one tRNA (with a specific anti-codon) for a particular amino acid; and 'wobble' base-pairing, i.e. permitting non-standard base-pairing at the 3rd anti-codon position. The record is from RNAcentral. Lineage: Archaea; Nanobdellati; Microcaldota.
AGCCCCGUAGUCUAGAACUUCGUAGGAUACCCCUCCGAGGUGGACAUUGGUCAAGGACACGGGACUCUGGAUCCUGUAACCCCGGUUCGAAUCCGGGCGGGGCUA